UCAGCUCUUAUUUGUAUGGAAUGGGAUCGUUUGCGUACGUUUGCCGCUAGGGGCGCUGUUCCAAUUGCAUACAAAAUUGGCUUA
This 84-nucleotide microRNA precursor is filed under the name Bombyx mori (domestic silkworm). RNAcentral describes it as "mir-2807 microRNA precursor family". It matches the Rfam family "mir-2807 microRNA precursor family". The record is from Rfam by way of RNAcentral. Lineage: Eukaryota; Metazoa; Arthropoda; Insecta; Lepidoptera; Bombycidae.